UUAAAUGUGAAAACCCCUAAUUGUGGGAGAAAUCCCCAAUUUGAAACCCUAAUUUUUAAAGAAAACCCUAAUUUCGAAAUUGGAAACCCUAAUUUCGAAAGUUCACUAAUUGAAUGACUCAAAAACUCAAUUAAAAUGUAAAUACGCAAUUUUUGGAAGUUAAUGUAUAGAAAUAAAUUGAAAUGCAAUCAUUAGGAUCUCGAAUCCCCAAUUUACUAUUAAAAACCCUAAUUUCACAAAUUCAACGAAUCGAUGGAAAAAUGCCAAUUCAAUGUUCCUAAACCUAUCCAAUAUACUCUCUCGAUAUAUACUGAAUCUACUCUUGCACACCACCAGCCUAUAUUUCUAUGGAUGAUGCAAUUAUACAAGAAUGCAUGAAUUUUUAUGAACACCUUAUGAAUUGCAUAAAGCAUAGGGGUAUAUUUCUAUCCCCUAUCGAACCCUAUGUUAAUUUUUAUUAUAUCGAAUCCAUUCCCCUUCUUUCGAAUGCAAAGAAUAAAUCAUCUAAACUCACAUAACAUAUGGCCAAUAAUUAUGGAAGCAAUCAAAUCAUAUAAAUCAAACAAUUGUCCAACCGAAACUUUAUAUUGAAUUUAUGAAAUAAAGGAGAUUAAAUAAUCAAAGGUUCAUCGAUUUCCUAAUGAAUAAAAACCCUAGCCUAUGAUCAUAAUUACAGAAUCAAGAAUUAAAACUAAAUUAAAAGAUAUAAAGAAUACACCCGUAUGAUAAUCCUUCAAUUUUGUGUGUAAUCUUCAAUUCCUUCUUGAAUCCUUGUGAAAUCAAGCCCAAGAUUGUGUUUCUUGCUUUCAAAUUGAGUGUAUUUCUU
This 826-nucleotide long non-coding RNA is filed under the name Olea europaea (common olive). RNAcentral describes it as "long non-coding RNA (OEUR_LNC002316)". Lineage: Eukaryota; Viridiplantae; Streptophyta; Magnoliopsida; Lamiales; Oleaceae. The record is from RNAcentral.